GCUAUUAUGCAAAUUUGUGAGUAGUGGCGUAAUGGAUUUUUAAAGUAAAGCUGUGAAUAAGUUAAUCUUACAUUAGAAGGAAGCCCAUCUCUGCAUUCUUUUCAAUUUUUUUUUUUAUGGUUCUUUUGUGAAUCCCACCACCUUUGUAGAUCAGAUGGUCAGUAGUAGUAGACUUGCUGAAAUCUACAUGUCCAAUGACAAUGAUGUUGAUAUGAGUCUUUUCCUUUCCCAUUUUUGCUUUGAUUUAGUGGUGGUUUUCAUGAAGCCUGUGUUCUGGAGGUAGACCCGUUGUGAAAAAGCUAACUUGCUUAAUUUCUUUAGGCUCUAGUUUGCUUAUAAAAUGAAGGGUUGGACAGUUGCUUCCUAAGGACUUUGCCAGCUCUAGUAUUUUAUGAUCUAAUAGGACAGUGUAAUUUUAAAUAAGUUAUUUUAUUUCCUGAAAUUUCAGCAGAGGGGAGAGUGCUCUUAGUGGGUUAGUUAGGAGGUUAUUGAGCUGGAGUUAGAACUAAAUAAGCAAAUGAGAUUCAGUGCUUUAGUGAAAUGGCAAGAAAAUUUACUAGGUAGGUAGGAUUUGGAAAGGACACUAAUAGAGGUUUAUUCUCUCCUUGAAUACUCCUGAGAAGAAAAGAAAACAUUAUAUUAUUGCCCAACUAUUAUUUUCUUAUGUGUGUUUUCAUCUUUUGAAAUCCUUUCCCUCAUAAAGUUGGCUCUGUAAUUUGAAGGAUACAUACUCCUAGUAUCAUUGAACUCGGGUUAAUCUCAUUCCACUCAUGUUACCUUUGUGUUACUCCUUUUUUUUUUAUUUUUUUAUUUUGUUGUUGUGUUUUUAAUUUAGAUCACCUUACAGACUAGUGACUACAUUUAGCAUUUAAGAAAGAUCAAGCGAUUGGUGGUAGAUGUUUGGCUAGGUUAAUGUAUUUGAAGAUUAGUACAAUGAACUGUCUCUGGAAAUAGGUAGGAUGCUGAGUUAGUGACUGACUAAAGAGAUUCUAGAAUGUAGAAACCCUUGACUUAAUCAUUUUUAGAAAACACAUUUGGAAACAAAGAUGCAGAAGGAAUCAGUGACUUGCUCAGAACCUCAAGAUCUCAGUAAUUUCCUUUCCAUGUCACUACAUGCCUUUGUAAGAAUUCUACACCAGACUGAGUGGGCGAAGAAAGAUGUCCUAUUGAGAUAGUACAGGUAAUUGUUAUGAGGAUAAUCCAUGUACCAUAGGCACAAUUCUGUUUGCCUAGGAAGCCAAUCAUUUUAUAACCUAUUAGAAAUAUAUGGCACUUUUGCUUUUGAGUAGCUUACAUAUUCAUUUGAAGUAAUGAUUUUCAGGGGUGAAAUAUUGAGUAAUGAUAUUUGGAAUUCAGAAAAGUCUAUAUAACUUCCAUAAUAUAAGCCACAGAAAUUAACAUGGGGAAACUUUAGCUGGUGUGGGUACAGUAAUUCUCAAAUUGGGGCGAGAGGACAACCUAUACUAUGGAGGACGGUGAGAUUUAAAAGUUUUCCAAAAGUGUAGAUGGGUGGGGAAAAACGUUGAAAAACUUAGCACUUAAAGCCAAUAUGGAAUUCCAGUUGAGCAAUUUUAAUUUUUAAUUUUAAUAGGCUCUGACACAUUUUUUUUUAAUUUCCUCUUCUGUGUUUUGAUAAGAUCUAAGCGGAUUAGAAAAUCGAAUUUCUGUUUAGGCAUUUCUUCUUCCCUGUGGCCUUGAACAAAGGUGGAAAUGUUCAAUAAUAUAAUGCUGUUUGAGAAGAAGAUAAUGGGCGUCUUUGUGAGAAGAGUUUCCAUGUAAUGAAACAUAUGUGAUGUUAUCUGUUUCUCUACUAGGGCUAUUACUGGGCAUAUUUUUCAUUGUUUCCUCUCUGAAUUGACUCUAUUUAGAACAGGAGGAACUCCUGGAAUUAAUGUGGGUGAUAUUGCGAAAGAUGGGACAAUUCUGAAGUGUGUGUCUUUUGAUUCCUUCUCAAGGAAUAACACAACAUUCCCUGUCUCUUGGCAGAUCUGUGCCAUUUAAUUAGUAAGUACUUCCUUAGGCUUCAAGGUGAACUCAUUUUUAAGAGAGCAACAUGAUUGAUCUGAGAAACAACGUACAGUAGAUAAUUACUUUGAAAAUGGUCACCUUUUGUAUACAAUACUUGCUCUGAAACUCUUGGGAAAAGUGUCUUUAAUGAACAUAUAAAGAUUCAUCGCCCUUUGCAACACAUUGGAUGGAUCUUAAGAGUAUUAUGUGAAGUGAAAGACGUCAGAGGGGAAAGGACAAAACCAUAUCAUUUCACUUAAAUGGGGAAUAGAAAACAAAAAUAACAAAUGAAC
Molecule: long non-coding RNA, 2300 nt
Organism: Pipistrellus kuhlii (Kuhl's pipistrelle)
Lineage: Eukaryota; Metazoa; Chordata; Mammalia; Chiroptera; Vespertilionidae
Exons: 2
Source: RefSeq, a predicted model, not a curated record